GAUGAACGCUGGCGGCGUGCCUAAUACAUGCAAGUCGAGCGAACAGAUAAGGAGCUUGCUCCUUUGACGUUAGCGGCGGACGGGUGAGUAACACGUGGGUAACCUACCUAUAAGACUGGAAUAACUCCGGGAAACCGGGGCUAAUGCCGGAUAACAUUUAGAACCGCAUGGUUCUAAAGUGAAAGAUGGUUUUGCUAUCACUUAUAGAUGGACCCGCGCCGUAUUAGCUAGUUGGUAAGGUAACGGCUUACCAAGGCAACGAUACGUAGCCGACCUGAGAGGGUGAUCGGCCACACUGGAACUGAGACACGGUCCAGACUCCUACGGGAGGCAGCAGUAGGGAAUCUUCCGCAAUGGGCGAAAGCCUGACGGAGCAACGCCGCGUGAGUGAUGAAGGUCGUCGGAUCGUAAAACUCUGUUAUUAGGGAAGAACAAAUGUGUAAGUAACUGUGCACGUCUUGACGGUACCUAAUCAGAAAGCCACGGCUAACUACGUG
RNAcentral lists this ribosomal RNA (497 nucleotides) under uncultured bacterium. RNAcentral describes it as "partial 16S ribosomal RNA". It matches the Rfam family "Bacterial small subunit ribosomal RNA", at positions 28 to 507 of the family's 1533-position model. The record is from RNAcentral.